This is a long non-coding RNA of Brassica napus (rape), 2569 nucleotides long. RefSeq lists it as uncharacterized. The record is from RefSeq and is a predicted model, not a curated record. NCBI's taxonomy places the organism in Eukaryota, Viridiplantae, Streptophyta, Magnoliopsida, Brassicales, Brassicaceae. The transcript has 3 exons.
AAAAAUUGUUGUGUGCUAUUAAAUGGUAUUUCUCUUUAUCGUCUUGUAUAAAUUAAGGAUAGUUAUUCGUCGCUCUGUGUGCUGGUUUUAUGUGGCUUAUCACUGAGUAAGCAUGGUGUGCUCGAAGAGAUGUUCAAGAGGACAUAUGGUUUCAUUCUCAGUAUCGAAGAUCUGUCACCGAACAUCGGAGCCUUUUGCUAAGUAUAAAGUCACAUGGAAUAAGAAAUCUCUGCUUUUCUACUAACACUAAUUGAUAUUCUUCUCUCUUUCACUUCUUUGCUGAAGUUUUCGACUUCUUCAGAAGUUUCUUCCUAAUAGUUUUCCACGUAAAUAUUCUGUUUAUGUUACUGCCCUUGCUUCCUGGCUUUCUUUCAUCUACUUAAUUAGCGAUCUCCUCAAUUAUUAUUAAAUCUUACCCUUCUGUAAGUACCUUAAUUCUCAGUGAACUAAUUAUUAUUUUUUCUUCUGAAGAAUUGUAUUCAUCAAUGUUAACCUUGCCUAGGUUGGAGAUUCAGCUUUAUAUUUUAGCUUAUGGGCACUGUUCAUGAAUGAAUUGGCAGGUAUGAAGUUCUCGUUCUUCUUCUUCUUCUGUGUAUAUCUUGGGGUUCUCUCCACAGUCCCGUGAUGCACAAUCUCUGGAUAUGGCGUGUAACUAUCUUAAGCUCAAAUUCAUAACCCAAUUCAUCACAACAUUAGCAACCAAAUGUUCCAGUGAUCUCAAGUUGAGAACAGCUUUUGAAUUCAAAACCUUGCUAUUUUUAUUCUUCAUUUCAGGGCACCGGUAAUGCCAAUUUCCACUUCGGAAACGCGAUUGGCUAUGCAUGCUUUCAUGUAAAAUAUUGGCCUGAAUGAAUUUAGAGAUUCAGUACUAUAAUAGUGACUGGGAGUUUACAUUCAUGGAGAUCACUAUUUGAUAUGAUCCAUUGGGAUGAUAUUAUCAGUUCUUGAUUAAAGGAUGUUGGGGUUUUACGAUUUUACAGAUCGUUCUCGUGGUUGACAGCGUAGGCGCAAUGCUGAACCAUGACCGGGCGCUGAAGAAAUGUAACUCGAACCAUCAAAAAGUCAAGAACUAAGCUGUUUACAGGUCAAGCACCACACGUAAAGAAAAUAGUUUAGUCUUAAGCUUGUAGGUGCGAUUAAAGCAAACGCUUAACGAUGGCCACACAUGUGUUUGUGAUUUAUACGAAUCACAUCUUCAGACUUCAGUGCCUUGCGAUUAACGUAAUGACUGAUUUGCACUUCGUAACGAGACAACAAUUUGAGUAGUGUUUGUCUAACUGUCUUAGUCUUCAUCAUUCAUUUUAUACAGAAGUAUAAACUAAAUCUAGUUUCUUAUCGUAGUUGUAAAAUAAUACUUAGUACAUAUACCUGACAUAUCCACUUGUGUUUCAAAAGAAAGUUGUAAAUUUAAAAGACCAAAGCCUAUAGGGAUAUGCAUGGGCAUUCGAGUUGGGUCCGGGUCCUUAACAUUCAAAUUCAACUAGGUACUUGGAAAGUUUUGGUUCAGUUUCAAGUUGAGUUUGGAUCGUUUAAGGUAAACAAGUUUAUACAUGUAAAAAACCUCUAUAUUCGGAUACAAAUAGUCUCGGUUCAGUUUUUGGGUCUUGUGGAUUCUUUCUGGGUCAAUUUCUUUGUAAUUUUUGGGUAAGUUUUAUAAAUUUCGAAUAUAGCCCGGUCCAUUUUAUCAUAUACAUGAAUUUACACCUGAAAAAUUCACUUUUUACAAUAAAUAUUAGGCUAGGAUUAUUAAAAUUCGAGUCCAUUGUUAGCCGAUCAGAUCUAGGGUUCGGUUCGGUUUGGAUCUAAAACCCUCAAAUCUUCCAUAAUAAGACCCCAUGAAAUAAAAUGACAUUAUCCAUACACCUGAUCCAGACCAAUUUUUAUGGAUCAGUUCGGGUAAAAUGUCCAUGCCUAUAUAGGGACAUGGAGUAUAUGCCACCAAAUAUGUCUCGUUUUGCCUUUUAUUUUGUUUUCCUGGUUUUAAAAUAUGAAUAUUUGUAAAUUAUGAGUUACCUUCCUAUCCCAACAGUUCUGAACGUUUAAGAUGUUGUUCGUUUGGAUAUCUGAACAUAGUCUCUAAACGUAAUAAUAUAUAAACAUGUUAUUUAUAUAGAACAUUUGCAUACUGUAUCUGGAUAAGACCUGUCUCAAAAGUAAAAUAGGCCCUAAUUAAGCUAAAGAAAAAUGGGACUUAUUUAUUCAAACAAAAUAUAAAUUUUUAAAAAUUAAACUCCAAUCUAGGCUAGAAUUUUUUUUUAAAAAAAACUCGCAAUGCACCCCAUGCAUAUGCAUACAGCCGGGCUUGAUAAACUAUCUGAUAAACACGGAACUUUAAUGUUAAUGAGUCAAUAUUAACUAUUCCCUCUGUUUUAAAAUGAUCCAUGUUUUAAAAAUUGCUUCAAAAGAUAUAUUUCUUACAUUUUCAUUUCAUUUUAUUACGUAAUAAUGGUAAAUUAUAAAUUUAGAGUAAAUUAAUUGUGUUUAUUGAAUUUUGAUUGGUAACAUUUGUAGGAAAUAAUUAAUCACUAAAAUCAUGCAUUUAUAUCAACAUUUAAUAUGUUUAAAACUC